GUCUGUAGCUUAGUUGGUAAAGGGAGCAUUGUCCUAUGGGUCUGCAAUUAGCAGAGGUCAUGAGUUCGAUUCUCCCCCGAGACA
RNAcentral lists this transfer RNA (84 nucleotides) under Puccinia graminis f. sp. tritici. Its description in RNAcentral is "tRNA-His". Lineage: Eukaryota; Fungi; Basidiomycota; Pucciniomycetes; Pucciniales; Pucciniaceae. The record is from RNAcentral.